This 486-nucleotide ribosomal RNA is filed under the name [Candida] sp. NT10. RNAcentral's name for it is "eukaryotic LSU rRNA". It matches the Rfam family "Eukaryotic large subunit ribosomal RNA", at positions 62 to 558 of the family's 3401-position model. The record is from RNAcentral. Lineage: Eukaryota; Fungi; Ascomycota; Saccharomycetes; Saccharomycetales.
AAACCAACAGGGAUUGCCUUAGUAGCGGCGAGUGAAGCGGCAAGAGCUCAAAUUUGAAAUCUGGCGUAAGCCCGAGUUGUAAUUUGAAGAAGAUAUUCUUGGAAUUGGUCCUUGUCUAUGUUCCUUGGAACAGGACGUCACAGAGGGUGAGAAUCCCGUGCGACAAGGAAUUCUUUUCUUUAUAAGAUGUCUUCGAAGAGUCGAGUUGUUUGGGAAUGCAGCUCAAAGUGGGUGGUAAAUUCCAUCUAAAGCUAAAUAUUGGCGAGAGACCGAUAGCGAACAAGUACUGUGAAGGAAAGAUGAAAAGAACUUUGAAAAGAGAGUGAAAAAGUACGUGAAAUUGUUGAAAGGGAAGGGUAUUCGAUCAGACUGGUAUUUAAUUAUCGCUACUCCUUGUGGGUGGUGCUCUAAUUUCUUACUGGGCCAACAUCAGUUUUGGUGGUAAGAUAAUCGCAGUUGAAUGUGGCUCCUCGGAGUGUUAUAGCU